This 495-nucleotide ribosomal RNA is filed under the name uncultured bacterium. RNAcentral describes it as "partial 16S ribosomal RNA". It matches the Rfam family "Bacterial small subunit ribosomal RNA", at positions 28 to 507 of the family's 1533-position model. The record is from RNAcentral.
GACGAACGCUGGCGGCGUGCCUAAUACAUGCAAGUAGAACGCUGAAGGAGGAGCUUGCUCUUCUGGAUGAGUUGCGAACGGGUGAGUAACGCGUAGGUAACCUGCCUGGUAGCGGGGGAUAACUAUUGGAAACGAUAGCUAAUACCGCAUAAGAGUAGAUGUUGCAUGACAUUUACUUAAAAGGUGCAAUUGCAUCACUACCAGAUGGACCUGCGUUGUAUUAGCUAGUUGGUGGGGUAACGGCUUACCAAGGCGACGAUACAUAGCCGACCUGAGAGGGUGAUCGGCCACACUGGGACUGAGACACGGCCCAGACUCCUACGGGAGGCAGCAGUAGGGAAUCUUCGGCAAUAGACGGAAGUCUGACCGAGCAACGCCGCGGGAGUGAAGAAGGUUGUCGGAUCGUAAAGCUCGGUUGUAAGAGAAGAACGAGUGUGAGAGUGGAAAGUUCACACUGUGACGGUAUCUUACCAGAAAGGGACGGCUAACUACGUG